RNAcentral lists this long non-coding RNA (438 nucleotides) under Gallus gallus (chicken). Lineage: Eukaryota; Metazoa; Chordata; Aves; Galliformes; Phasianidae. The record is from RNAcentral.
GUUGUACUGUGCUGUCCUGAGUGGGGGCACAUUUCCAAGGCUGCGGUAAAUAGCAGGAUCCCGUCCAGAGAAAUCAAUUACAGUUGCAGCAUAGAGUUCUCCUCGUGAUGUAAUCACAGCUGUUGAGUUAUGCCGGGGGUCAUAUGGGCACCGAGCCACUCCAUUAAUUCUGUCAAUGAUUUUGCUAAGAUUUCCUACCUGACGGCUGGAACACACUGGUGAAAAGGCAUUGGUACCACAGGUAAAAACCUUCUUGCCAUAAACAAUCAGCACUCGGACAUAGUUCUGGCACUCCUCCUCUGUUUUCCCUUUACUUUGACAGGACCUCCUGGUGUCUUCAUCUGAACCCCAUGCUGUUGCCUGAAUAAGAGAAACGUUGUGUAGACUAAGUCUGAAGAGGUAGUUCCUUGCUCCCACAAUGAGCUGGUUCCUGUUGGC